UGGUGGAGUGAUCUGUCUGGUUAAUUCCGUUAACGAACGAGAUCUUGUCUUACUAAGUAGCUACGUAUAAUUUUGGUUACAUGGGCAGCUUCUUAAAGGGACUUUGUGAAGCUACUACAAGGAAGUUCGAGGCAAUAACA
This 140-nucleotide ribosomal RNA is filed under the name uncultured eukaryote. Its description in RNAcentral is "partial 18S ribosomal RNA". It matches the Rfam family "Eukaryotic small subunit ribosomal RNA", at positions 1299 to 1458 of the family's 1831-position model. The record is from RNAcentral.